Molecule: ribosomal RNA, 468 nt
Filed under: uncultured bacterium
Lineage: Bacteria
Description: partial 16S ribosomal RNA
Rfam family: Bacterial small subunit ribosomal RNA
Source: RNAcentral
GACGAACGCUGGCGGCGUGCUUAACACAUGCAAGUCGAACGGAAAGGCCCUGCUUUUGUGGGGUGCUCGAGUGGCGAACGGGUGAGUAACACGUGAGUAACCUGCCCUUGACUUUGGGAUAACUUCAGGAAACUGGGGCUAAUACCGGAUAGGAGCUCCUGCUGCAUGGUGGGGGUUGGAAAGUUUCGGCGGUUGGGGAUGGACUCGCGGCUUAUCAGCUUGUUGGUGGGGUAGUGGCUUACCAAGGCUUUGACGGGUAGCCGGCCUGAGAGGGUGACCGGCCACAUUGGGACUGAGAUACGGCCCAGACUCCUACGGGAGGCAGCAGUGGGGAAUAUUGCACAAUGGGCGGAAGCCUGAUGCAGCAACGCCGCGUGCGGGAUGACGGCCUUCGGGUUGUAACCCGCUUUCGCCUGUGACGAAGCGAGAGUGACGGUAAUGGGUAAAGAAGCACCGGCUAACUACGUG